RNAcentral lists this ribosomal RNA (2758 nucleotides) under Klebsiella pneumoniae. Its description in RNAcentral is "bacterial LSU rRNA". It matches the Rfam family "Bacterial large subunit ribosomal RNA". The record is from RNAcentral. Lineage: Bacteria; Pseudomonadati; Pseudomonadota; Gammaproteobacteria; Enterobacterales; Enterobacteriaceae.
CACUAUCGUUAACUGAAUACAUAGGUUAACGAGGCGAACCGGGGGAACUGAAACAUCUAAGUACCCCGAGGAAAAGAAAUCAACCGAGAUUCCCCCAGUAGCGGCGAGCGAACGGGGAGCAGCCCAGAGUCUGAAUCAGCUUGUGUGUUAGUGGAACGGUCUGGAAAGUCCGACGGUACAGGGUGAUAGUCCCGUACACCAAAAUGCACAGGUUGUGAACUCGAAGAGUAGGGCGGGACACGUGGUAUCCUGUCUGAAUAUGGGGGGACCAUCCUCCAAGGCUAAAUACUCCUGACUGACCGAUAGUGAACCAGUACCGUGAGGGAAAGGCGAAAAGAACCCCGGCGAGGGGAGUGAAAAAGAACCUGAAACCGUGUACGUACAAGCAGUGGGAGCACCUUCGGGUGUGACUGCGUACCUUUUGUAUAAUGGGUCAGCGACUUAUAUUCUGUAGCAAGGUUAACCGUAUAGGGGAGCCGCAGGGAAACCGAGUCUUAACUGGGCGUUAAGUUGCAGGGUAUAGACCCGAAACCCGGUGAUCUAGCCAUGGGCAGGUUGAAGGUUGGGUAACACUAACUGGAGGACCGAACCGACUAAUGUUGAAAAAUUAGCGGAUGACUUGUGGCUGGGGGUGAAAGGCCAAUCAAACCGGGAGAUAGCUGGUUCUCCCCGAAAGCUAUUUAGGUAGCGCCUCGUGAACUCAUCUUCGGGGGUAGAGCACUGUUUCGGCUAGGGGGUCAUCCCGACUUACCAACCCGAUGCAAACUACGAAUACCGAAGAAUGUUAUCACGGGAGACACACGGCGGGUGCUAACGUCCGUCGUGAAGAGGGAAACAACCCAGACCGCCAGCUAAGGUCCCAAAGUCAUGGUUAAGUGGGAAACGAUGUGGGAAGGCACAGACAGCCAGGAUGUUGGCUUAGAAGCAGCCAUCAUUUAAAGAAAGCGUAAUAGCUCACUGGUCGAGUCGGCCUGCGCGGAAGAUGUAACGGGGCUAAACCAUGCACCGAAGCUGCGGCAGCGACACUAUGUGUUGUUGGGUAGGGGAGCGUUCUGUAAGCCUGCGAAGGUGACCUGUGAGGGUUGCUGGAGGUAUCAGAAGUGCGAAUGCUGACAUAAGUAACGAUAAAGCGGGUGAAAAGCCCGCUCGCCGGAAGACCAAGGGUUCCUGUCCAACGUUAAUCGGGGCAGGGUGAGUCGACCCCUAAGGCGAGGCCGAAAGGCGUAGUCGAUGGGAAACAGGUUAAUAUUCCUGUACUUGGUGUUACUGCGAAGGGGGGACGGAGAAGGCUAUGUUAGCCGGGCGACGGUUGUCCCGGUUUAAGCAUGUAGGCUGGUUAUCCAGGCAAAUCCGGAUAAUCAAGGCUGAGGUGUGAUGACGAGGCACUACGGUGCUGAAGUAACAAAUGCCCUGCUUCCAGGAAAAGCCUCUAAGCAUCAGGUAACAUCAAAUCGUACCCCAAACCGACACAGGUGGUCAGGUAGAGAAUACCAAGGCGCUUGAGAGAACUCGGGUGAAGGAACUAGGCAAAAUGGUGCCGUAACUUCGGGAGAAGGCACGCUGGUGUGUAGGUGAAGUCCCUGCGGAUGGAGCUGAGACCAGUCGAAGAUACCAGCUGGCUGCAACUGUUUAUUAAAAACACAGCACUGUGCAAACACGAAAGUGGACGUAUACGGUGUGACGCCUGCCCGGUGCCGGAAGGUUAAUUGAUGGGGUUAUCCGUAAGGAGAAGCUCUUGAUCGAAGCCCCGGUAAACGGCGGCCGUAACUAUAACGGUCCUAAGGUAGCGAAAUUCCUUGUCGGGUAAGUUCCGACCUGCACGAAUGGCGUAAUGAUGGCCAGGCUGUCUCCACCCGAGACUCAGUGAAAUUGAACUCGCUGUGAAGAUGCAGUGUACCCGCGGCAAGACGGAAAGACCCCGUGAACCUUUACUAUAGCUUGACACUGAACAUUGAGCCUUGAUGUGUAGGAUAGGUGGGAGGCUUUGAAGCGUGGACGCCAGUCUGCGUGGAGCCAACCUUGAAAUACCACCCUUUAAUGUUUGAUGUUCUAACGUUGGCCCCUGACCGGGGUUGCGGACAGUGUCUGGUGGGUAGUUUGACUGGGGCGGUCUCCUCCCAAAGCGUAACGGAGGAGCACGAAGGUUAGCUAAUCCUGGUCGGACAUCAGGAGGUUAGUGCAAUGGCAUAAGCUAGCUUGACUGCGAGCGUGACGGCGCGAGCAGGUGCGAAAGCAGGUCAUAGUGAUCCGGUGGUUCUGAAUGGAAGGGCCAUCGCUCAACGGAUAAAAGGUACUCCGGGGAUAACAGGCUGAUACCGCCCAAGAGUUCAUAUCGACGGCGGUGUUUGGCACCUCGAUGUCGGCUCAUCACAUCCUGGGGCUGAAGUAGGUCCCAAGGGUAUGGCUGUUCGCCAUUUAAAGUGGUACGCGAGCUGGGUUUAGAACGUCGUGAGACAGUUCGGUCCCUAUCUGCCGUGGGCGCUGGAGAAUUGAGGGGGGCUGCUCCUAGUACGAGAGGACCGGAGUGGACGCAUCACUGGUGUUCGGGUUGUCAUGCCAAUGGCACUGCCCGGUAGCUAAAUGCGGAAGAGAUAAGUGCUGAAAGCAUCUAAGCACGAAACUUGCCCCGAGAUGAGUUCUCCCUGAGACUUUAAGUCUCCUGAAGGAACGUUAAAGACGAUGACGUUGAUAGGCCGGGUGUGUAAGCGCAGCGAUGCGUUGAGCUAACCGGUACUAAUGAACCGUGAGGCUUAACCUU